This is a long non-coding RNA of Cheilinus undulatus (humphead wrasse), 301 nucleotides long. RefSeq lists it as uncharacterized. The record is from RefSeq and is a predicted model, not a curated record. The transcript is spliced from 3 exons. Lineage: Eukaryota; Metazoa; Chordata; Actinopteri; Labriformes; Labridae.
GAGAAUACGACUGUAAUUCAGUUUAACUUGCACAGGAAUUCAGACUUUGGCAGUUUAUUUUUUCUAUUGUAGCAUAGCAUUGGCGCGUGAGCGCGGCUGAUGACGGGAAUAAGCGGAGGUGGAGGAUAACAUACACAAGAACCAGUCAAAAUCCUCAAUAAGGAGUAAAGUAUAAGUGGGAUGUCUUGCGUGACAGAACGGAGAGCAGGCGACAUGAAGUCCAAGUGGACUGCUUCUCCCUGUGGCAACAGAUGACAAAGUUCUGGUAACAUUAAAAAUAAACCACAUGGACCAAUGUGCG